AUGUUUCCAGGCAGCAAAUGUGGACAAAUAUUAGCUCUUGGAAAUAAAGGGGGAAGUUAUUCAUUCACUCAGCAGCAUUUUCCAAGCCAUCAAUCUUCCGAGGAUUUCCAUUGCUUUAAUCAUCAAGGUUGUUUAUUUGGAGCAAUUUCUGAGAGAAUAAAAGUACCUUUGGCCUUUAUCUGCUGUCAUCAAAGCAUCCAUUAGGGGACUGGAGCCCUGUAGGGAGGCUCAAGGGAUUAUUCCGAGAGGUUUUCUGAAACGCACAGGAAUUCUGCUUUUUCUUCUCCCUGGUGCGGCAGUGAAGUUUAAACUGUAAUCUGAAAGGUUGAGUUUAUCGUCAGGUUUGUACCAUUUGAACAGGAUUUUGUUCAAGGCAAACCUACCGAUAAAAGCAUUUUAAGUGACCUGGAAAAAAGACCGGCCUGCCUGCCUGGAAAUUGUGUGGCCUCUGAGAGUCUCUGAGCCUUGGGUUUCUGACAAUAGCACGAUGGAGUCCCAGGCAGCCUGUACAGUAACAGGAUGUCAUCUUCUUGGGGAGGGUUGGGGGCAGAAGCAGGAAAGAAGCUGAGUGGUCCCUGCCCUGCCAGAAGGUGAAGCAUUACGCUGCUUGGUGAACUUGAAGUGGGAGGAGAAAGAAUUGAAAUUAUGUGGAGCCUGUGGGUAAAUGCAUCUGGGUGUACACACAUAUGCACAGACACUGCACACAGGCACACACAGCACACAU
Pan paniscus (pygmy chimpanzee) is the source of this 724-nucleotide long non-coding RNA. The record is from Ensembl. NCBI's taxonomy places the organism in Eukaryota, Metazoa, Chordata, Mammalia, Primates, Hominidae.